RNAcentral lists this ribosomal RNA (24 nucleotides) under Metroxylon salomonense. Its description in RNAcentral is "partial 26S ribosomal RNA". Lineage: Eukaryota; Viridiplantae; Streptophyta; Magnoliopsida; Arecales; Arecaceae. The record is from RNAcentral.
GCACGACCCCAGGUCAGGCGGGCC